UAACUUAUCUAGAGUUACUACUGCACAUGUAAAUUGUUUGCUUCAUUUGACCUAUAUGCUCAUCAAACUGCUUGCUGCAUUUGGCUUGUGAUUCCUCUUAAAGCCAUGUGCAUAAGAUUUAUUCCUCAUUUAACUUUUAAGCGACAUAAAUUUCAUUAAAUUGCUAAUUCACAUUUGCAAAAUUGAGGUUUUAAUUUUAAGUCUACAACUAUUUAUGAUCUAACUGGUGGACCUGGCCAGUCACUGGUUCUUAUCCAUGGCUAAUUUUGGUUGGAACUGUGUUAAAUUUAUUACAAUAUAUAUCAUAUAUACGACUAGCUUGUUCUAUUAAACAUGAAAGCUUUCAUUAAAUCAAUAUAUUUGUAUAUUUAAUAAUUCACCUGGUGUCAUCUUUACACAAUCUCUAAUAAGCAGAUCUCACAAAGAAAAGCGAUCCUCAUAUGCCCCCGAGAAUGGCGUGCGGUAUGAUGGAAUUUAUAGAAUUGAAAAGUGCUGGCAGAUAGCUGGAUUGCAGGGUUUCAAAGUUUGCCGGUAUCUAUUUGUUAGAUGUGACAAUGAACCCGCCCCGUGGACAAGCGAUGAUCAUGGAGAUAGGCCCAGACCCUUGCCCGUAAUUCGUGAACUGAAAAAGGCUACAGUCAUAUUUGAAAGGACCGAGACUCCAUCUUGGGAUUUUGAUGUGAGUGAUUAUUUAGGAGUUCUUCUUCCUUUUUCGA
This is a non-coding RNA of Cajanus cajan (pigeon pea), 716 nucleotides long. The record is from RefSeq and is a predicted model, not a curated record. Lineage: Eukaryota; Viridiplantae; Streptophyta; Magnoliopsida; Fabales; Fabaceae.